UACGUAGGGGGCGAGCGUUGUCCGGAAUUAUUGGGCGUAAAGAGCUCGUAGGCGGCUUGUUGCGUCAGCUGUGAAAACCCGCAGCUCAACUGUGGGCUUGCAGCUGAUACGGGCAGGCUUGAGUUCGGUAGGGGAGACUGGAAUUCCUGGUGUAGCGGUGAAAUGCGCAGAUAUCAGGAGGAACCCCGGUGGCGGAGGCGGGUCUCUGGGCCGAUACUGACGCUGAGGAGCGAAAGCGUGGGGAGCGAACAGG
RNAcentral lists this ribosomal RNA (253 nucleotides) under uncultured bacterium. RNAcentral describes it as "partial 16S ribosomal RNA". It matches the Rfam family "Bacterial small subunit ribosomal RNA", at positions 524 to 776 of the family's 1533-position model. The record is from RNAcentral.